Molecule: long non-coding RNA, 276 nt
Organism: Drosophila arizonae
Lineage: Eukaryota; Metazoa; Arthropoda; Insecta; Diptera; Drosophilidae
Gene: trv
Source: RefSeq, a predicted model, not a curated record
ACAUAAAAAUAAAACUGAAAAAAAAUUUUAGACAAAUAAAAAUUGGAAAGCGCCAGAACUUGUAGAAAAAAGUUAAUAUCUUAUUGGUCUGUGAUAAGUGAAGGGAAGGCAAAAUUAAAUAGUAAAAAUUGAAUCAAAAACUGCAAACGCAAAACGGCAGGCGGCAAAUAAAUGCGAGCACAAACCGCAAAAAAAACUUUUGAAAUUAGUAAAAUUGUAGAAAUCAUUUAACGCACCAAAUGAUUUCCGUAAAAUAUUAAAAAAGGAACACGCAAA